RNAcentral lists this ribosomal RNA (492 nucleotides) under uncultured bacterium. Its description in RNAcentral is "partial 16S ribosomal RNA". It matches the Rfam family "Bacterial small subunit ribosomal RNA", at positions 29 to 507 of the family's 1533-position model. The record is from RNAcentral.
AGUGAACGCUGGCGGUAGGCCUAACACAUGCAAGUCGAACGGCAGCACAGUAAGAGCUUGCUCUUACGGGUGGCGAGUGGCGGACGGGUGAGGAAUACAUCGGAAUCUACUUUUUCGUGGGGGAUAAAGUAGGGAAACUUACGCUAAUACCGCAUACGCCCUACGGGUGAAAGCAGGGGAUCUUCGGACCUUGCGCGAUUGAAUGAGCCGAUGUCGGAUUAGCUAGUUGGCGGGGUAAAGGCCCACCAAGGCGACGAUCCGUAGCUGGUCUGAGAGGAUGAUCAGCCACACUGGAACUGGGACACGGUCCCUACUCCUACGGGAGGCAGCAGUGGGGAAUAUUGGGCAAUGGGCGCAAGCCUGAUCCAGCCAUACCGCGUGGGUGAAGAAGGCCUUCGGGUUGUGAAGCCCUUUUGUUGGGAGAGAAAAGCAGCAGGUUAAUACCCCGCUGUUCUGACGGUACCCGAAGAAUAAGCACCGGCUAACUUCGUG